AUACGUAGGGAACAAGCGUUGUCCGGAUUUACUGGGCGUAAAGGGCAUGUAGGCGGUUUUUUAAGUCAGAUGUGAAAGGCACCGGCUCAACCGGUGACAUGCAUUUGAAACUGAAGAACUUGAGUAUUGGAGAGGCAAGCGGAAUUCCUGGUGUAGCGGUGAAAUGCGUAGAUAUCAGGAGGAACACCGGUGGCGAAGGCGGCUUGCUGGACAAAUACUGACGCUGAGAUGCGAAAGCGUGGGGAGC
Molecule: ribosomal RNA, 247 nt
Filed under: uncultured bacterium
Lineage: Bacteria
Description: partial 16S ribosomal RNA
Rfam family: Bacterial small subunit ribosomal RNA
Source: RNAcentral